GAUACGCUGCCCGUCCCGGACGUCUUUCAGUUCCUGGAGGGGGGGGAGUUGGGUACAAUGGGUUUGGGGUCUGUGGGGGGGGAUUUGGGGAUCACUGGGGCCAGUAUUGGGGCUCUGGGGUUGACGGUGGGGUGGUGCUGGGAAUGCUGGGGUCUCGGGGGAUACAGUGAACUCUCCAGGGAAAAAUUUUGGGGUCCCCAAGAGGAAAACAGGGGUGGGAAAAGGGGAAACCGGUAUUUCCAUGGGAGAUCUGGGGAUCCUGGUGGGGAUGUUGGGGUCCCGGCCUGGAUUACAGCGUCUCCAGAGAACAUGGAGGGGUCCUGGGAAGGACUGUGGGGUUCUUGGGGGUGGGGGGCUCACAGUACCGCACCUGGCGCAGCGCCCGGCCCUCCGCCUCCUGCAGCUCCCGCUGCCGCUCCGCGUCCCCCAGCAACGCCCGCAGCUCCCCAACGCCCACCUCCAGCUCGGCGCGGUGCUGCUCCCGGUGGGCGCGGGCGGCCGCCAUGUGCUCCUGCGCCUGCAGCUCCAGCAGCUCCUGCGGUGGGGACAGGAAUUUGAGGCGGGGAUUGAAGGGUUGGGGGGCAGGGGGUGAGGAUUUCAGGGUACGAGACAACAACUUUGGGACACAAAACGAGAAAUUGGGGCACGGGGUAAAGAUUUAGGGUCAGGGAGCGAGGAUUUGAGGUGGGGGUGAUGAGGCUUCGGGGAGGGGGCUCUGACCUGCGCCUGCCGCAGGCGCUGCUCCGUGUCCCCCUGUGAGUCCUCGGCCGCCGCCAGGCGCUGCCGCAGCUCCUCCUGCUCCUGGGAGUGCUCCUAUGGGGCAGCCGAAGGCGGAGACCCCAAAUUCACCCCCGUGGAUCCCAGCCCCCCCAAGGAUGGGACGAGGGGGGCUCAGCACCUCCCUGAGCUCCCCCCAGGACCCUACUGGCCCCACCUGGAGCUGAGCCUCAAGGGCGUCGCGUCGGCUCUGGGCCUCCUGCAGCUCCCGGCUGAGACUCUCGCUCUGCUCCCGCAGCCCCCUCUCCACCUGCCCCUCCCCAAAAGAAAAACCCCAUAGGGGCUGCGGGGCCACCCAGAGCCCUACGGAACCGCACAGCCCCACCCCGGGCCCCCCCGACCUGUGCCGCAGCCUCCAGCUCCUGCUGUAGCCGCCUCUUCUGCUCCUGCAGCUCCCGAAUUUCCUCCUCUGCCUCUGCCCUGGGGGUGGCGCAGGUCGGGUGGGGUCUCGAGGCUUUGAGACCCCCCCACUGCCCCCCCAGCCCCCUUCUACCUUCGGGCGUUGCUCAGCGCAUCUUUUUCUGCCUGGAGCUGCUGCAAACUUGGGCGGAAAAAAAAAACAAACAUGAAAUUGGUUCCAUCAAACCCAACCCAACGCCUCCGUGCGCCCCCCCCCCCGGACACCCCCCUCACCUCUCAUCCUUUUUCCUCAGCUCCUCCGUCAGCUGCAGAGAACAGAAAUCACCAUUAAGGC
This 1471-nucleotide long non-coding RNA is filed under the name Numida meleagris (helmeted guineafowl). RNAcentral describes it as "lncRNA (ENSNMEG00000004425.1)". The record is from RNAcentral. Lineage: Eukaryota; Metazoa; Chordata; Aves; Galliformes; Numididae.